UCUGAGACACACACACACACACACACUAUUUACCUCUGUUUAAGGUCCAGUGUGUAAGAACUAGUGACAUCUGCUGGUGAGACUGCAGAUCACCACUGUCUGUCUGUCUGUCUGUCCUGAGGUCGUCCACUAAAUGGAGGACAUGUCUUGUUUGUUUGGUGUCUCUGAUUCUACGAGUCUGAAAACCUGCUGCACACCUGUAACAUCUGUAUGUUUAUGUCUCUAAUAAGUUCAACCACAGGACCAGAGAGACCAGAGAGGACAGAGAGGACAGAGAGGACAGAGAGGACAGAGGGGACAGAUUUAUCAUGAGUGCUCCUUAAUGAGGUCAAAGGCUAUUUAGGACCAGUGGACACUGAAGAGGAGAAACAAGAGGUUCAGCCUCAUGUUGGAGGGAAUCCCCUGCUCAAGUGUCCUUGAGCAAACGCCUAAAUGAAACUGCAUCCGUGGUCUGGAACUGACCCUGACUUCUGACUCUUAA
This is a long non-coding RNA of Solea solea (common sole), 481 nucleotides long. RefSeq lists it as uncharacterized. Lineage: Eukaryota; Metazoa; Chordata; Actinopteri; Pleuronectiformes; Soleidae. The transcript has 3 exons. The record is from RefSeq and is a predicted model, not a curated record.